RNAcentral lists this non-coding RNA (30 nucleotides) under Rattus norvegicus (Norway rat). The record is from RNAcentral. Lineage: Eukaryota; Metazoa; Chordata; Mammalia; Rodentia; Muridae.
UGCAUUUCUUGUUUCUCAUACCUGUGGCCA